GUCCACGCCGUAAACGUUGGGCGCUAGGUGUGGGGCUCUUUCCACGAGUUCCGUGCCGCAGCAAACGCAUUAAGCGCCCCGCCUGGGGAGUACGGCCGCAAGGCUAAAACUCAAAGGAAUUGACGGGGGCCCGCACAAGCGGCGGAGCAUGCUGAUUAAUUCGAUGCAACGCGAAGAACCUUACCAAGGCUUGACAUGGGCAGUAAUCCGGCAGAGAUGUCGGGUCCGUAAGGGCUGUUCACAGGUGGUGCAUGGUUGUCGU
RNAcentral lists this ribosomal RNA (262 nucleotides) under uncultured bacterium. RNAcentral describes it as "partial 16S ribosomal RNA". It matches the Rfam family "Bacterial small subunit ribosomal RNA", at positions 793 to 1055 of the family's 1533-position model. The record is from RNAcentral.